Molecule: non-coding RNA, 146 nt
Organism: Aeromonas diversa
Lineage: Bacteria; Pseudomonadati; Pseudomonadota; Gammaproteobacteria; Aeromonadales; Aeromonadaceae
Source: Rfam
ACACUAUUGAACUCCGAAGCCGUCUUGCCUAAGUCCUUGUCUGGAUAGGGGAGGCCGGCCGAACACCCGGGUUGCCGGCGUGUUAAGGGUCAGGAAAGAAAUGCCCUGGUCUCCCGUAUUUGGAAAGGUGUUUAUGUCGCUGCUUG